RNAcentral lists this ribosomal RNA (484 nucleotides) under uncultured bacterium. RNAcentral's name for it is "partial 16S ribosomal RNA". It matches the Rfam family "Bacterial small subunit ribosomal RNA", at positions 30 to 507 of the family's 1533-position model. The record is from RNAcentral.
AUUGAACGCUGGCGGCAGGCCUAACACAUGCAAGUCGAGCGGAUGAAGGGAGCUUGCUCCUGGAUUCAGCGUCGGACGGGUGAGUAAUGCCUAGGAAUCUGCCUGGUAGUGGGGGAUAACGUCCGGAAACGGGCGCUAAUACCGCAUACGUCCUGAGGGAGGAAUUUGGGGAUCUUCGGAUCUCACUCUAUCAGAUUAGGCUAGGUCGGAUUAGCUAGCUGGUGGGGUAAAGGCCUACCAAGGCGACGAUCCGUAACUGGUCUGAGAUGAUGAUCAGUCACACUGGAACUGAGACCCGGUCCAGACUCCUACGGGAGGCAGCCGUGGGGACUAUUCGACGAUGGGCGAAAGUCUGAUCUAGCCAUGCCGAGUGUUUGAAGAAGGUCUUCGGAUUGUAAAGCACUUUAAGUUGGGAGGAAGGGCAGUAAGUUAAUACCUUGCUGUAUUGGCGUUAACAACAGAAUAAGCACCGGCUAACUUAGUG